CACGUAGGCGGAUCUUUAAGUCAGGGGUGAAAUCCUGGAGCUCAACUCCAGAACUGCCUUUGAUACUGGGGAUCUCGAGUCCGGAAGAGGUGAGUGGAACUCCGAGUGUAGAGGUGAAAUUCGUAGAUAUUCGGAAGAACACCAGUGGCGAAGGCGGCUCACUGGUCCGGUACUGACGCUGAGGUGCGAAAGCGUGGGGAGCAAACA
RNAcentral lists this ribosomal RNA (207 nucleotides) under uncultured bacterium. RNAcentral describes it as "partial 16S ribosomal RNA". It matches the Rfam family "Bacterial small subunit ribosomal RNA", at positions 568 to 774 of the family's 1533-position model. The record is from RNAcentral.